AGAGUUUGAUUCUGGCUCAGGAUGAACGCUAGCUACAGGCUUAACACAUGCAAGUCGAGGGGCAGCAUGUGGUUGCUUGCAACCAAUGAUGGCGACCGGCGCACGGGUGAGUAACGCGUAUCCAACCUUCCCUUAGUAGGGCAUAGCCCGUAGAAAUGCGGAUUAAUACCCUAUGUUGUAUAUUGAGGACAUCUGAUUUAUACCAAAGGUUUUACCGCUAAGGGAUGGGGAUGCGUCUGAUUAGGUAGUCGGCGGGGUAACGGCCCACCGAGCCUACGAUCAGUAGGGGUUCUGAGAGGAAGGUCCCCCACAUUGGAACUGAGACACGGUCCAAACUCCUACGGGAGGCAGCAGUGAGGAAUAUUGGUCAAUGGACGAGAGUCUGAACCAGCCAAAGUAGCGUGCAGGAUGACGGCCCUAUGGGUUGUAAACUGCUUUUAUACGGGGAUAAAGUGACCCACGUGUGGGUUUUUGUAGGUACCGUAUGAAUAAGGACCGGCUAAUUCCGUGCCAGCCGCCGC
Molecule: ribosomal RNA, 521 nt
Filed under: uncultured bacterium
Lineage: Bacteria
Description: bacterial SSU rRNA
Rfam family: Bacterial small subunit ribosomal RNA
Source: RNAcentral